Non-coding RNA from Bemisia tabaci, 969 nucleotides. The record is from RefSeq and is a predicted model, not a curated record. NCBI's taxonomy places the organism in Eukaryota, Metazoa, Arthropoda, Insecta, Hemiptera, Aleyrodidae.
UCCAUAUUUUUUUCAAAUCGUAAUCAUUUUCAGUCAAAAAGCAUAUCCAAGUUACAAUCUCUAAUCUUUGCAACUUGGGCAAUUCAUUUUAAUAGCGCAUUAUCGCCCUGUUCAAAAGCCUUGCUUCUCGACAUAUCUGAUCUUCCUCCUGUCCCCCCUACCCCUUCAUGCUUCAAAAAUUUAACCCACCAAGGAGCGCUAGUGGUCGCGUGGCGGCUACUAGCACUACUCGGCCCCCCACUUUUCUCAUUCUGUCCUCGAGUUUGUGUUCGGGUCGGUUGUUCUCUUGUCAUCCUUGUAAGAACAGCCAAUUAUUAUUUCUUUAAAUUGCCAAUAUUUUAUGCGUGUUGAUGCAUAAAGAUAGAAGGAGCUAAUCCAGGAUAUCCAAACAAAACAAACCGUCCGUAUAGAUGCAGAUCAACACCCCCCGUCGCGGUAAAAAAGAAGACCCGGUAACACACACACAAAUCUAUCUCCGUAUGUAUUUAUCGCAACGACGAAUCGUUUUUUUUAUAUGUGUCACACAACCAAUGCAUAAUCUUCUUUGUUUCAGAGUGCAAGAAAUUCCAGUUACAGAUAAUAUCCGAAACAUAAUAGUCCCACAAGUCAGAGCCCCAUACCUGCAAACUCAAGUGUCGGACGAUUCAGUUCAGAUAGUAUUCCUCAGCAUGAAGGGAAAAAUUUCCUCCAUUAAUAGAUCGAUAGUUCAAGGAUUUCCCCGACAGCUACACACCCUUCAUAGACGCCGUCAUCAGACAAGGAAACAUGGGAGAAAUUUGGUCCGACGAUAAAAGAUUAUACGCGCUACAAUCCAAACCCGACAAGCAACAGCUUAAAAAAAGCACAUGUAAGGGCCGAUUUUACCUCAAUCCAGCAUGGCGUUUCUUUGAUGCUUUGGCGUGGAUAGUCAGGACCCCAGCCCUUCACAAAACUUAACCUCAAGAUGCAAAGACGUCUUAAAUCAUCUAC